RNAcentral lists this ribosomal RNA (462 nucleotides) under uncultured bacterium. RNAcentral describes it as "partial 16S ribosomal RNA". It matches the Rfam family "Bacterial small subunit ribosomal RNA", at positions 29 to 506 of the family's 1533-position model. The record is from RNAcentral.
AGUGAACGCUGGCGGCGUGCCUAAUACAUGCAAGUCGAACGAUGAAGUCCUAGCUUGCUAGGAUGGAUUAGUGGCGCACGGGUGAGUAAUAUAUAGUUAAUCUGCCCUACACAGAGGAACAACAGUUGGAAACGACUGCUAAUACCUCAUACUCCUAUUUGACAUAAGUUAAAUAGGGAAAGUCUUUUCGGUGUAGGAUGAGACUAUAUCGUAUCAGCUAGUUGGUAAGGUAAUGGCUUACCAAGGCUAUGACGCGUAACUGGUCUGAGAGGAUGAUCAGUCACAUUGGAACUGAGACACGGUCCAAACUCCUACGGGAGGCAGCAGUAAGGAAUAUUGCGCAAUGGGGGAAACCCUGACGCAGCAACGCCGCGUGGAGGAUGACACUUUUCGGAGCGUAAACUCCUUUUAUCAGGAAAGAAUAAGGACGGUACCUGAGGAAUAAGCACCGGCUAACUCCGU